This 92-nucleotide transfer RNA is filed under the name Actinocatenispora comari. Its description in RNAcentral is "tRNA-Ser". It matches the Rfam family "tRNA". Rfam says of the family: Transfer RNA (tRNA) molecules are approximately 80 nucleotides in length. Their secondary structure includes four short double-helical elements and three loops (D, anti-codon, and T loops). Further hydrogen bonds mediate the characteristic L-shaped molecular structure. tRNAs have two regions of fundamental functional importance: the anti-codon, which is responsible for specific mRNA codon recognition, and the 3' end, to which the tRNAs corresponding amino acid is attached (by aminoacyl-tRNA synthetases). tRNAs cope with the degeneracy of the genetic code in two manners: having more than one tRNA (with a specific anti-codon) for a particular amino acid; and 'wobble' base-pairing, i.e. permitting non-standard base-pairing at the 3rd anti-codon position. Lineage: Bacteria; Bacillati; Actinomycetota; Actinomycetes; Micromonosporales; Micromonosporaceae. The record is from RNAcentral.
GGAGGCUUCGCCUAGUCUGGUCUAUGGCGCCCGCCUGCUAAGCGGGUUUCGGGCUACAACCCGAUCCGGGGUUCAAAUCCCCGAGCCUCCGC